ACCUGACUGCUAUCGGAUUGAUACUAAGCCAUGCGAGUCAUUGUAGCAAUACAAGGCAGACGGCUCAGUAACACGUAGUCAAUCUAACCUAUGGACGGGGAUAACCUCGGGAAACUGAGAAUAAUAUCCGAUAGGCCACUAUGCCUGGAAUGGUUUGUGGCCCAAAUGAUUUAUCGCCGUAGGAUGGGACUGCGGUCUAUCAGCUUGUUGGUGAGGUAAUGGCCCACCAAGGCUAUAACAGAUACGGGCUCUGAGAGGAGAGGCCCGGAGAUGGGUACUGAGACACGGACCCAGGCCCUAUGGGGCGCAGCAGGCGAGAAAACUUUGCAAUGUGCGAAAGCACGACAAGGUUAAUCCGAGUGUUUUCUGCUAAAGAAAUCUUUUACCGGUCUUAAAACCACGGGCGAAUAAGGGGUGGGCAAGUUCUGGUGUCAGCCGCCGCGGUAAAACCAGCACCUCAAGUGGUCAGGAGGAUUAUUGGGCCUAAAGCAUCCGUAGCCUGCCGUGUAAGUUUUCGGUUAAAUCUAUGCGCUCAACGCAUAGGCUGCCGGAAAUACUGCACGGCUAGGGAGUGGGAGAGGUAGACGGUACUCGGUAGGAAGGGGUAAAAUCCUCUGAUCUAUCGAUGACCCCCUGUGGCGAAGGCGGUCUACUAGAACACGUCCGACGGUGAGGGAUGAAAGCUGGGGGAGCAAACCGGAUUAGAUACCCGGGUAGUCCCAGCUGUAAACAAUGCAAACUCAGUGAUGCAUUGGCGUAAGAGCCAGUGCAGUGCCGCAGGGAAGCCGUUAAGUUUGCCGCCUGGGAAGUACGUACGCAAGUAUGAAACUUAAAGGAAUUGGCGGGGGAGCACCACAAGGGGUGAAGCCUGCGGUUC
RNAcentral lists this ribosomal RNA (877 nucleotides) under uncultured Nitrososphaerota archaeon. RNAcentral's name for it is "bacterial SSU rRNA". It matches the Rfam family "Archaeal small subunit ribosomal RNA", at positions 21 to 903 of the family's 1478-position model. Lineage: Archaea; Thermoproteati; Nitrososphaerota. The record is from RNAcentral.